AACGAACGCUGGCGGCAUGCCUAACACAUGCAAGUCGAACGAGACCUUCGGGUCUAGUGGCGCACGGGUGCGUAACGCGUGGGAACCUGCCCUUAGGUUCGGAAUAACUCCCCGAAAGGGGUGCUAAUACCGGAUAAUGUCUUCGGACCAAAGAUUUAUCGCCUUUGGAUGGGCCCGCGUUGGAUUAGCUAGUUGGUAGGGUAAAAGCCUACCAAGGCGACGAUCCAUAGCUGGUCUGAGAGGAUGAUCAGCCACACUGGGACUGAGACACGGCCCAGACUCCUACGGGAGGCAGCAGUGGGGAAUAUUGGACAAUGGGCGAAAGCCUGAUCCAGCAAUGCCGCGUGAGUGAUGAAGGCCUGAGGGUUGUAAAGCUCUUUUACCCGGGAUGAUAAUGACAGUACCGAGAGAAUAAGCUCCGGCUAACUCCGUG
This 433-nucleotide ribosomal RNA is filed under the name uncultured bacterium. Its description in RNAcentral is "partial 16S ribosomal RNA". It matches the Rfam family "Bacterial small subunit ribosomal RNA", at positions 29 to 507 of the family's 1533-position model. The record is from RNAcentral.